GUGACAGAAGAGAGUGAGCACACAUGGUUCUUGCAUGGAAAUUCCAUGCAUAAAGCUCUGCGUGCUCGCUCUCUAUCUGUCAC
MicroRNA precursor from Nicotiana attenuata, 83 nucleotides. It matches the Rfam family "mir-156 microRNA precursor family". Rfam says of the family: This family represents the plant microRNA (miRNA) precursor mir-156. Animal miRNAs are transcribed as ~70nt precursors and subsequently processed by the Dicer enzyme to give a ~22nt product. NCBI's taxonomy places the organism in Eukaryota, Viridiplantae, Streptophyta, Magnoliopsida, Solanales, Solanaceae. The record is from Rfam.